This 492-nucleotide ribosomal RNA is filed under the name uncultured bacterium. Its description in RNAcentral is "partial 16S ribosomal RNA". It matches the Rfam family "Bacterial small subunit ribosomal RNA", at positions 29 to 507 of the family's 1533-position model. The record is from RNAcentral.
AGCGAACGCUGGCGGCAGGCUUAGCACAUGCAAGUCGAACGGCAGCACAGUAAGUGUUUGCUCUUACGGGUGGCGUGAGGCGGGCGGGUGAGGCAUACAUCGGAAUCUACUUUUUCGUGGGUGAUAACGAAGCGGAACUUACGCUAAUACCGCAUACGAUAUACGGGUGAAAGCAGGGGAUCUUCGGACCUUGCGCGAUUGGAUGAGCCGAUGUCGGAUUAGCUAGUUGGGGGGGUAAACGCCCACGAAGGCGAGGAUCGGUAGCUGGUCUGAGAGGAUGAUCAGCCACACUGGAAGUGAGACAGGGUCCAGACUCCUACGGUAGGCAGCAGUGGGGAAUAUUAGGCAAUGGGGGCAAGCCUGAUCCAGCCAUACGGCGUGGGUGAAGAAGGCGUUCGGGUUGUAAAGCCCUUUUGUUGGGAGAGAAAAGCAGCAGGUUAAUACGCCGCUGUUCUGACGGUACCCAAAGAAUAAGCACCGGCUAACUUCGUG